CCCGCUGAACUUAAGCAUAUCAAUAAGCGGAGGAAAAGAAACCAACAGGGAUUGCCCUAGUAACGGCGAGUGAAGCGGCAACAGCUCAAAUUUGAAAUCUGGCCUUCUGGUCCGAGUUGUAAUUUGUAGAGGAUGCUUUUGGUGCGGCGCCUUCUGAGUUCCCUGGAACGGGACGCCAGAGAGGGUGAGAGCCCCGUACAGUCGGACGCCUAACCUUUGUAAAGCUCCUUCGACGAGUCGAGUAGUUUGGGAAUGCUGCUCAAAAUGGGAGGUAAAUUUCUUCUAAAGCUAAAUACCGGCCAGAGACCGAUAGCGCACAAGUAGAGUGAUCGAAAGAUGAAAAGCACUUUGAAAAGAGGGUUAAACAGUACGUGAAAUUGUUGAAAGGGAAGCGCUCGUGACCAGACUUGCGCUCGGUGGAUCAUCUAGCGUUCUCGCUGGUGCACUCCGCCGUGCUCAGGCCAGCAUCGGUUUCCCCGGGGGGAUAAAAGCUUCGGGAACGUGGCUCCUUCGGGAGUGUUAUAGCCCGUUGCAUAAUGCCUUCGGGGGGACCGAGGUUCGCGCUCCGCAAGGAUGCUGGCGUAAUGGUUACCGGCGACCCGUCUUGAAACACGG
RNAcentral lists this ribosomal RNA (615 nucleotides) under uncultured fungus. RNAcentral describes it as "eukaryotic LSU rRNA". It matches the Rfam family "Eukaryotic large subunit ribosomal RNA", at positions 24 to 664 of the family's 3401-position model. Lineage: Eukaryota; Fungi. The record is from RNAcentral.